Molecule: long non-coding RNA, 1756 nt
Organism: Camarhynchus parvulus
Lineage: Eukaryota; Metazoa; Chordata; Aves; Passeriformes; Thraupidae
Source: Ensembl
AUGCUUGGAAGGGGUCCCCAAAAAUUUGGGGGGUCCCUGAUGAGAGGGGGAUCCCAAAAAUUGAGGGGAGGGCCCAGGAUGCUUGUGGGGGGUCCCUGGAGGAUUUUGGGGGUCCCUGGAGGAUUUUGGGGGUCCCAGUGGUUUUUGGGGGUCCCAGUGGUUUUUGGGCUCCCCAUUCAGGAGGUGUCCCGGGGUUUUGGGGGUCUCGAGUUUUGGGGUCCCCAUUUGGGGGUGUCCCAGGGUUGUGGGGUCCCAGCGGUUUUUGGGGUCUCAGGGUUUUUGGGGUCCCCAUUUGGGGUCCCAGUGGUUUUUGGGGUCCCCAUUUGGGGUCCCAGUGGUUUUUGGGGUCCCGGGGUUUUGGGGUCCCCAUUUGGGGUCCCAAGGUUUUGGGGAUCCCAGGGUUUUGGGGUCCCGGUGGUUUUUUGGGUCCUGGUGGUUUUGGGGCGUCCCAAGGUUUUGGGGUCCCCAUUCAGGGGAUGUCCCGGGGUUUUGGGGUGUCCCAGGGAGUUUUGUAGUGUCCCGCGGGUUUUGGGGUCCCGGGGUUUUGGGGUCCCCAUUUGGGAAUGUCCCAGGGUUUUGGGGUCCCGAGGUUUUGGGGUCCCAGUGGUUUCAGGGUGUCCCAGGCUUUUGGGGUCCCCAUUUGGGGGUGUCCUGGGAUUUUGUGGGUUCCAGUGGUUUUGGGGGUUCUGGGGUUUUGGGGGUCCCGGGGUUUUGGGGUCCCAGUGGUUUUUGGGGUCCCAAGGUUUUGAGGUCCCCAUCAGGAGGAGUCAAGGGGUUUUGGGGUCCCCAUUUUGGGGAUCCCAAGAUCUUGGGGAUCCUGGGGUUUUAGGUUGCCAGUGGUUUUGGGGUCCCAGGUGGGUUUUGGGGAUCCUGGGGUUUUGGGGUCCCCAUUCAGGGGGUGUCCCAGCCUUUUGGGGUCCCAGCAGUUUUUGGGGUCCCAAGGUUUUGGGGUCGCAGUGGUUGUUGGGGUCCUGGGUUUUGGGGUCCCAUCCAGCUGGGUUUUGGGAUCCCAGUGGUUUUGGGGUCACAGUGAUUUUGGGGCUCUGGGGUUUUGGGGUCCCAGUGGUUUGGGACCCACCCAGGCGGGUUUUGGGGUCCCACCCAGGUCGUUUUGGGGUUCUGGGGUUUUGGGGUCCCACCCAGGUGGUUUUGGGGGUCCCAGCGGUUUUGGGGUCCCAUCUAGGUGGGUUUUGGGGUUCUGGGGUUUUGGGGUCCCAGCCAGGUGUUUUUGGGGGGGGUCCCACCCAGGCGGGUUUUGGGGUCCCAGCGGUUUUGGGGUCCCACCCAGGUGUUUUUGGGGUCCCAGUGUUUUGGGGGUCCCAGUGUUUUUGGGGCCCCCCCCAGGUGUUUUGGGGGUCCCAGUGUUUUUGGGGUCCCCCCCAGGUGUUUUUGGGGUCCCAGUGUUUUGGGGGUCCCAGUGUUUUUGGGGUCCCCCCCAGGUGUUUUUGGGGUCCCCCCCAGGUGUUUUGGGGUCCCAGUUUCGGGGGCUCAGCAGCGCCCGGCCUUGGCGUCGCCGAUGGCGCCCCAGACGUCGAACACGAACUCGUCGGGGAAGGCGAAGUCGCCGAGCUGAGCGUCCAGAGCCUCGGCCAGAGCGUCGGGGUCACGCGCGUCGCGGCCCAGCUCCACCAUGGUGGCCGCUGUGGGGACAUCGGGGACAUUGGGGACAUCGGGGACAUUGGGGACAUCGGGGACAUUGGGGACAUUGGGGACAUCGGGGACAUUGGGGACAAUGGGGACAUUGGGGACAUCGGGG